This 87-nucleotide transfer RNA is filed under the name Campylobacteraceae bacterium 4484_166. Its description in RNAcentral is "tRNA-Leu". It matches the Rfam family "tRNA". From Rfam's summary of the family: Transfer RNA (tRNA) molecules are approximately 80 nucleotides in length. Their secondary structure includes four short double-helical elements and three loops (D, anti-codon, and T loops). Further hydrogen bonds mediate the characteristic L-shaped molecular structure. tRNAs have two regions of fundamental functional importance: the anti-codon, which is responsible for specific mRNA codon recognition, and the 3' end, to which the tRNAs corresponding amino acid is attached (by aminoacyl-tRNA synthetases). tRNAs cope with the degeneracy of the genetic code in two manners: having more than one tRNA (with a specific anti-codon) for a particular amino acid; and 'wobble' base-pairing, i.e. permitting non-standard base-pairing at the 3rd anti-codon position. The record is from RNAcentral. Lineage: Bacteria; Pseudomonadati; Campylobacterota; Epsilonproteobacteria; Campylobacterales; Campylobacteraceae. RNAcentral also lists the same sequence under 1 other name.
GCCAGUAUGAUGAAAUUGGUAGACAUGAGGGAUUCAAAAUCCCUUGGUAGCAAUACCGUGUCGGUUCAAGUCCGACUACUGGUACCA